RNAcentral lists this ribosomal RNA (797 nucleotides) under uncultured archaeon. RNAcentral's name for it is "bacterial SSU rRNA". It matches the Rfam family "Archaeal small subunit ribosomal RNA", at positions 134 to 860 of the family's 1478-position model. The record is from RNAcentral.
GGGAAACUGGGGUCAAUAUCCGAUAGGUGAAAAUUCCUGGAAAGGUUUUUUGCCCAAAGGGCGUUUGGAGCAUGCUUUCAAGCGUUGCCUAAGGAUGGGGCCGCGACCGAUCAGGUUGUUGGUGAGGUAAUGGCUCACCAAGCCUAUUACCGGUUCGGGCCGUGGGAGCGGUAGCCCGGAGAUGGGUCCUGAGACAAGAACCCAGGCCCUACGGGGCGCAGCAGUCGCGAAAACUUCGCAAUAAGCGAAAGCUUGACGGGGCUUUCCCGAGUGCCGUCUGCUGAAGGAUGGCUUUUACCCAGUAUAGAUUAGCUGGGAGGAAAUAAGGAGAGGGCAAGUCUUGGUGUCAGGCCCGCCGGCGGUAAUACCAGGCCUCUCCCGGUGUGGUUGGGAUAUUUAUUUGGGCCUGAAGCCAUCCGUAGCCCGGCUGGACAAGUCCCCUUGUUUAAACCCCAGCGAUUUAAUCCGUUGGUCUGGGGGGGGAUUACUUGUUCCCGGCUUGGGGGGCGAGAAAAGGCCCGUCCGGUAUUUUCCCGGGGUAAGGGGUGAAAAUCCCUUAUAAAUCCCCGGGGAGGACCACCCAGUGGCGAAAGGCUGUCCGGCUUAGAAACCGCCCUUCGACGGUGAAGGGAAUGAAAGCUUGGGGGAGCGAACCCGGAUUAAGAUACCCGGUUAGUCCCAAGCUGUAAACGAUGCAGGCUAGGUGUUUAGAGCGGCUACGUGCCGCUCUAGUGCCCGCAGGGAAAGCUUGUUAAGCCUGCCGCCUUGGGAGUUACGCCGCAAGCCUGAAACCUUAA